Nematocida parisii ERTm3 is the source of this 72-nucleotide transfer RNA. It matches the Rfam family "tRNA". Rfam says of the family: Transfer RNA (tRNA) molecules are approximately 80 nucleotides in length. Their secondary structure includes four short double-helical elements and three loops (D, anti-codon, and T loops). NCBI's taxonomy places the organism in Eukaryota, Fungi, Microsporidia. The record is from Rfam.
GGUUGUGUAGUGUAGCGGUUAGCACCUCAGACUCUGAAUCUGAUAACCCGAGUUCGAUUCUCGGCACGACCA